CCUACGGGAGGCAGCAGUAGGGAAUAUUGGUCAAUGGGCGAGAGCCUGAACCAGCCAUGCCGCGUGCAGGAAGAAGGCCCUCUGGGUUGUAAACUGCUUUUGACAGGGGCCAAAAUACUCAUGCGUGAGGAAUUGAGAGUACCUGUAGAAUAAGCACCGGCUAACUCCGUGCCAGCAGCCGCGGUAAUACGGAGGGUGCAAGCGUUGUCCGGAUUUAUUGGGUUUAAAGGGUGCGUAGGUGGCCUUAUAAGUCAGUGGUGAAAGCCUGCAGCUUAACUGUAGGACUGCCAUUGAUACUGUAGGGCUUGAGUACUGAUGAGGUAGGCGGAAUUGAUAGUGUAGCGGUGAAAUGCAUAGAUAUUAUCAAGAACACCGAUUGCGAAGGCAGCUUACUAAGGAGUUACUGACACUGAGGCACGAAAGCGUGGGGAUCAAACAGGAUUAGAUACCCUGGUAGUCCACGCCAUAAACGAUGAUUACUCGAUGUAUGCGAUAGAUAGUAUGNGUCCAAGCGAAAGCGUUAAGUAAUCACCUGGGAGUACGACCGCAAAGGUUGAAACGUUAAAGUGAGUAGAGNGNGAGAGNGCGAGGCGACACGAGGGAGAGG
RNAcentral lists this ribosomal RNA (607 nucleotides) under uncultured bacterium. Its description in RNAcentral is "bacterial SSU rRNA". It matches the Rfam family "Bacterial small subunit ribosomal RNA", at positions 338 to 950 of the family's 1533-position model. The record is from RNAcentral.